Molecule: unclassified non-coding RNA, 4750 nt
Filed under: Anthonomus grandis grandis
Lineage: Eukaryota; Metazoa; Arthropoda; Insecta; Coleoptera; Curculionidae
Description: h/ACA ribonucleoprotein complex non-core subunit NAF1
Source: RNAcentral
CUUUUUUUUUGUAUCAAAAUGGCCGGUUUAUGAUUUGCACGUUUCUUGGUCCGUUUUUUCUAUUCCGGGGCCGGUUUUGCUUCGAUUUUUCCACCGUAUACCGUGUAGUCGAAAAGAGUCAACGAGAUUAAAGUAUUAAAAAAUAAAUUAAUUAAAGAUCCAGGCAUGUCAUCAAUCAAUAGCGUAGAUAUCGACAAAACAAAUAAGGAAAUUGAUGUGGGGGGCGAUCAAGGCCAAGGGGCACAAGACGUGCAAAGAGAUACUGAUACAAAAUCUCCGGAAAUGUUGAUGGACGAAGUUAGAGAAGAGGUAACGAAAUUGAAUAUAUCUGGUGAGGAGCCCCAAACUGUUACACAGCCUCCAGUUACACCCUCUAAAGUCGAAGUAAAGCAGCAAAGUGACUCUUUGCGGAACCUCUUGGUAUAUGAUGGAGAUAGUGAUAGCGAUAGUGAGAGUGACUCUCAAGAUGAAGGCCAUAAGGAUACACCAGAAAAAAAAGAAAGUAACUUAAGUAAACAUAUUAAAGAACCAGAAUGGAGAGAGGAAUAUUCAGGUUCUAGUGAUUCAGAGACUGAUUCAUCAGCCAGUACUCUUUCGUCUGACUCUGGGUCAGAUUCGGAUUCUGCUUCUGUGAUAUCUGACAGUGAUGAUAGAAUAAAAGCUGCUGAUUGUUCACCACUAAAUGCAAGCACUAAAAAAGGAGCAGUUAAGAAAACCAAUAAGUCCUCAGAAAGAGAAACUGACCUCCCACCAAUUCCGGAUUUAAGUAACCUAAAUAUAAGUUCUGUUGAAGAAUUUAUGCAUAUUGGAGGUGUUACUUCUGUAAUUGGCAAUAUAGUUACUAUUGAGACAAUACGUGGUAUGCCAGCAUUUGAUUUAGAUUCUAUGCUUUUCAUAGAUUACCAAUCCACAAAGAAGCCUUUAGGUCCCAUUGAUGAUGUUAUAGGGCCAGUUUCAGAGCCCAUGUAUUGCGUCAGAUUUAACAACGAAGAUGAAAUAAAAAAGCUUGAUGUUAAAUUUGGAACUAAAGUCUAUGCAGCGCCUAAGAGUGAAGCAUUUACAAAGUUUGUUUUUCUUAAGGAGCUUAUGAAGAUAAAAGGAUCCGACGCGUCUUGGUUAAACGAUCAAGAACAACCGAUUGAAUUGGCGGAAUUUUCGGAUGACGAAAUGGAACGACAAGCAAGGAAACCGACGAAAACCCACUCGAAACGGAAACUGGAUGACAGCAGCCUGGAGAGGCACCAAAAAUACGAGAGAACCAUGAAUCACUGCAACAAUUUGAACACGCGGGUGUGCAAGUUAGCAGAUGCACAGAAAAAUCUAUCGAAACAAAUCAGAACUAACCACCAUCGAAGCGAUUUCCAAGAACCUGUACCACCAGCACCAUUCAGUCUUGAACCUCCCACGUGGAUACCGCCGGAAUUUAAUCCGACAGUACCUCCUCCGAUGCUUGGACAUCCGACGCCCUACGGUUGGCCCGUCGCCGCACCGGCAGCUACACAUCCCAACACUUUUAGUGUCGGCGGUCAAGAAAAAUAUGCUUUUGCACCGAUGCCCCUUCAAAAUCUCUCGUACUUCCGAAGAAAUUUAUAUGCCAAUCCGUGCAUCAACCAGACGGUCGAGACACCCACCGCUGGAACACAAUUAGCUUUCUGAACAAUGUUUUCUAUAUAAACGUCGAAGAGCAGUCUGGAAUCCAACGUCACACCUAAUCCUUAAUAAACUCCACAUACUUCAGGAUAGUGCCCCCGAGAUAGACUCACAUUUGUUUUGUGUCUGAGAUAGUUUUCUGCUAAAAAGUAUAGAAUGACAUUUUUCUGGAUUAAUAAAUAAUUUAUUUAAGGUCAUCUGCAUAUGCAAGAUAUCUACAGGUAGAGAAACAUUGACCAAUGUCAUUUAAAAAAAUUGAUAACAAAAUCGGUCCCAAAUGAGAACCUUGCGGUACUCCUGAAGUUACGGUUGUACAAGAAGACUUUACUCCAUUUACGACAACGUACUGAGAGCGAUUUGUUAGAUAACUUUUAAUGAGUUUGAGCAGGACCCUGUGCACACCGAAAUUCUCCAACUUCACGAAAAGUGUAGGAUGAUGUACCUUAUCAAAAGCCUUGGAAAAGUCAGUGUACACGGCACAAGUUUCCAGACCACUAUCCAUACUUUCGUAUAUACUCUGAAUAAAUGGUAUUAAUAAUUAAUAAAUUAUUAUAUUAACUAAAUAAAUGGUUUUUAUUAUUUUAUAAUAUUAGAAUUAAUUAAUUUUGUCUGAGUUCAAAACUAUUAAGUAUUAAUUUUCAAUCAAGUCAAGACAUCGUUAUUUUUUAUCUGAAUUUAAAAAGCAAAACACUUUGACUUUAAAACUAGGAGGGCUCAGGGUAGCAUCGGAAAAAUAAUAUAUGUUUCUUUGGAAAAAUUAUGCCACAGCUAGGGAAAAGGAAAAUCAUUAAUUCUGGAAUUACUAAUGCAGAAAAAGCAAAAAGCAAAAAUGAAAUUAGGUCAUUUGUAACAGGUAUGAGUCUCACUAUAUUCUUAUACUCAGUAGAUUAUGAUCGCCACAUGCCAGUACUCGCAUUUGCUUUCACAGAACCGAGACAUCGCUCACAGUGUAAUUGAUUUAAUUAAUUGAAAAACAUUUGGCUUUCAUUAUCACAGCUCAUAGUUCGACAGUAAAUAUUUAACAUGUCUUACACUAUUUUUCAUUUAUGUGUGACAUAAAUUGUUACAUAAAUAAAUGAAUAAAAAUAUAAGAAUAAUAAGAAACAGCCUGCACAGAAUUAUUGCAAUAAAUUUAUUUUGUUUAACAACACAAACUGAUAUUCAUAACAAAUAGUUCAUUAUUAAUCGCUUUCGUUAUCGGAACUUAAAUCAUUCGUUGAACAGUUUGAUUCUAUAACUUCUCCGUUGCUACCAGAUUAUCGUCCAUGGUCGUAAAAUUAUCUAGUUCAGGAAGAUAUUUUUCUACAGUAGUUACGUUUUGGCAGUGAUUUUGCAACCAAUAUCUUAGCGGAAUAUCCCAGUCAUCAUCAUCAUCAACACUUUUAUAUUUCUCGUACCACUGAUUCAGAGGCAAGUCAUCAUCUGAAUCAAACUCCUCCAUCGAUUUCACUAGACCAGCAUGUCGAAAGCAGUUUUGAAUCGUUUUUUGUGAAACCUCAUUCCAAGAUUUCGCAAUAAUUUUUAUCGAGUCUAGAAUUGUUAGAUUGAACGUUUCCUCACUAUCCAAUGCUUGAAUUAGGCGAUACAUAAAAUAUCUACGGUAAUAGGUUUUCAGGCAUUUUAUUAUGCCUUGAUCCAAUCUGAUAUUUGUCAGAUCUACAUUCUUUGGAUGAGCUGCACAAUUGUCCACUAGAAGCAAUAUUUUUCUUUUUUGACGUCUUAGUUUUUCAUCCUACUCUUUCAAAUAAUUAAUAAAAAUGUCUGAAGUCAUCCAUGCGCGUCUAUUCGAUUUAUAAAUAACAGGCAGGUUUUUAAUAUUUUCCAUGCACCUCGGUCGUUCAUAUUUACCAAUGACAAGAAGUUUACAUUUUUCACUACCUGUCAUAUUUGCACAAACCCAAACGGUGUAUCUUAGCUUUGAUUGCUUGCCUCCCACACACUUUUCUACUUUUCUAAAUUUCAGUCUACGGUCUGGAGUCAUCUUGUAAAAUAGUCCGGUCUCAUCCCCAUUAAAAAUAUCUUCACAGCUGUAAUUUUGUGCAAUACCUGGCCAUUUCUCGGUUAACCAGUUUACCACAGCUUCCCUGCUAACAUCUCCUGCUUUAGUGGACACUUUGCCGACAUUGAUGUUGUGACGAACUUUAAAACGCUCGAGCCAAUCCGUAGAGUACUUAAAAUCUCCACCGUGUAAUCCCUUAGAUAAAUCUUCCGCUUUUGCCUUUAAAAGUGGUCUACUUAUAGGAAUAUUUUCGGUUCUUCUCACCUCAAACCAUCGAAUAAGAGCUUGAUCCACAUCUGGGCGUACGGGAUUCCUAAUUUUCUUAAUUCUUUGCGAUUUAUUUUCACUUGCUUGUUUGAUUUUUUCACGAUUGCUCCAAAUUGUAGAAACUGUUGUUUUUGCCAUAUUUUUCCUUCUCGCAAUUUCCCAUUUGUUAAUGCCACUUUCAAUACUUUUAUUGAUGUCUAUUUUUUCUUUCAAAUUUAUAGCUCUGUGCUUAUCCGUUAUUUUACCAAAAAAACUACUAAAACUCGCACUCUAUUGUGAGUUUACUAGUGAACUUCACGCAAUGUCCAAUCUAAAACUACCGGUCAUCUCAUUUUGCCUGUUUUAUAAAAUUUCUCAGAGUCGAGAACUGAACAUCCCCGGCGGCCUCGGUACCAACGCGCGACCACAGAGAAACUUCUCAGUAUCGAUUAAUGGAAAUCCCCGACAGAGGUGGAAAAUUACUCUGCUUAUAACGUACCUUUGUACGUUACAACCGGAAAAUUACUGUCAAUCGGGCAAAAAUAUUGAACGUUAUAGCCGGAGUUAAAAUUUUAGUUAGUACGUUAUAUCCAGUAAAAUGACAAGACUGUUUGGGCGGGUUCCGAAUUAUAAGUACGUAAUAACGGGAAGUACACUGUAUAUAAUUUUAUGUUGUUAAUUUAUCCCUAAAAUCCAUUCAUUUUUUGUAAUAUAGAUCCUAUACCUAUACCCUUUACUUUUUAACACAUGAUAACUUUUGUGUAAUUUAAGUAUAAAAAGCCGAUUAUUUAAUCCAUUAUUUUUAAGCAUUAAGAUUUGUAUUAAAUAAUAAUGAAGAAUAAUAAAAAAUACUAU